CCUACGGGCGGCAGCAGUGAGGAAUAUUGGUCAAUGGGCUUACGCCUGAACCAGCCAAGUCGCGUGAGGGAAGACUGCCCUAUGGGUUGUAAACCUCUUUUGUCAGGGAGCAACGCCGGCUACGUGUAGCCGGACUGAGAGUACCUGAAGAAAAAGCAUCGGCUAACUCCGUGCCAGCAGCCGCGGUAAUACGGAGGAUGCGAGCGUUAUCCGGAUUUAUUGGGUUUAAAGGGUGCGUAGCCGGAAUGCCAAUUCAGCGGUAAAAGCGCGGGGCUCAACCUCGCUCCGCCGUUGAAACUGGCGGGCUGGAGUGGGCGAGAAGUAUGCGGAAUGCGUGGUGUAGCGGUGAAAUGCAUAGAUAUCGCGCAGAACUGCGAUGGCGAAGGCAGCGUACCGGCGCCAAACGGACGCUGAGGCACGAAAGCGUGGGUAUCGAACAGGAUUAGAUACCCGGGUAGUC
RNAcentral lists this ribosomal RNA (460 nucleotides) under uncultured bacterium. RNAcentral describes it as "partial 16S ribosomal RNA". It matches the Rfam family "Bacterial small subunit ribosomal RNA", at positions 338 to 795 of the family's 1533-position model. The record is from RNAcentral.